RNAcentral lists this ribosomal RNA (429 nucleotides) under Bacteroidota bacterium. RNAcentral describes it as "Bacteroidetes bacterium partial 16S ribosomal RNA". It matches the Rfam family "Bacterial small subunit ribosomal RNA", at positions 355 to 776 of the family's 1533-position model. The record is from RNAcentral. Lineage: Bacteria; Pseudomonadati; Bacteroidota.
UAGGGAAUCUUCCGCAAUGGACGCAAGUCUGACGGAGCAACGCCGCGUGAGUGAAGAAGGAUUUCGGUUCGUAAAACUCUGUUGUUAGAGAAGAACAGCGCAUAGAGUAACUGUUAUGCGUGUGACGGUAUCUAACCAGAAAGCCACGGCUAACUACGUGCCAGCAGCCGCGGUAAUACGUAGGUGGCAAGCGUUGUCCGGAUUUAUUGGGCGUAAAGCGAGCGCAGGCGGUCAAUUAAGUCUGAUGUGAAAGCCCCCGGCUCAACCGGGGAGGGUCAUUGGAAACUGGUUGAAUUGAGUGCAGAAGAGGAGGGUGGAAUUCUAUGUGUAGCGGUGAAAUGCGUAGAUGUAUGGAGGAACACCGGUGGGGAAGGCGACUCUCUGGUCUGUAACUGACGCUGGGGCUGGAAAGCGUGGGUAGCGAACAGG